GUGCACCCGGCCACAGAGAAGUGGGUGACUUAGGAGUAUCCUCUCCGCUUCUGACCCUUAGUUUCGUCUGUGCACAACUCGCUCAAAAUGGGCAACUCACUAAGCAUAUUUUGUUCCUGGUUCCACCACAGGUCCCCGCCACGCCAUCGGCAACCUGCUCGUCUUGUCCGUGAGGCCUUCCCAGCUGGCCGGGCUCACCCCGCGGCUCCUGCACCCAUGCCUGCCCCGGGAACCUUGGGCCGUUUCCCACUCCUCUUCAACCGUCAGCGAUAUCUUGGGCCUUCUUUUCCAGUCAGGUGGGACGGCGCCCCUAUGAGGCUGUGUCUUAUCCCUCGGAACACAGGCACCCCACAGAGGGCCCUGCCUCCUGUGGUCUGGAGCCCCCCCUCGAGGAAGAAACCCGUGCUGUCUGCUCGCAACUCCAUGAUGUUUGGACACCUCAGCCCUGUGAGGAUCCCUCGUCUCAGACGCAAGUUUAACCUCCGACUUCCUUCAUUAGAUGAGCAGGUGAUCCCAGCCAGGCUCCCGAAGACAGAGGUGAGGGCAGAAGAGCCCAAAGAAGCAACAGAGGUGAAAGACCAGGCAGAGACCCAGGGGCAGAAGGACAAUAAAAGGGGCCCCUGUAACAAUGGGGAAGCAGCCUCCACCUCUAGGCCCCUGGAGACUCAGGGAAACCUCACUUCCUCCUGGUACAAUCCCAGGCCCUUGGAGGGAAAUGUCCACCUCAAGAGCUUGACAGAAAAGAACCAGACUGACAAGGCCCAGGUGCAUGCAGUGAGUUUCUACUCCAAGGGCCAUGGAGUCGCCAGUUCACACAGCCCUGCUGGAGGCAUCCUUCCCUUUGGGAAGCCUGAGCCAGUUCCAACAGUGCUCCCUGCCCCAGUUCCCGGCUGCUCCCUGUGGCCAGAGAAGGCGGCCUUGAAGGUGCUGGAUAAAGACCACCUGCCCAGCUCUCCAGGCUUGCUGAUGGUGGGGGAGGACAUGCAGCCCAAGGAUCCUGCAGCUCUUGCAUCAAGUAGGUCUUCUCCACCCAGAGCUGCCGGCCACAGGUCCCGCAGGCCCCGCAAAAGAAAACUGUCAGGGCCACCGCUGCAGCUCCAACCGACCCCUCCCCUGCAACUGAGGUGGGAUAGAGACGAGGGGCCCCCACCGGCUAAGCUUCCCUGUCUAUCUCCUGAGGCACUGUUGGUGGGUCAGGCUUCCCAAAGAGAAGGACGCCUCCAGCAGGGCAACAUGCGUAAGAACAUGAGGGUGUUAAGUAGAACAUCAAAAUCCAGGAGAUGAAAACAGCCGCUUGGGAGGAGAAAGAAGACACGGCAGGGCAGGCGUCGUGGCUCAUGCCUGUAAUCCAGCACUUUGGGAGGCCCAGGCGGGCGAUCAGGAGGUCAAGAGAUUGAGACCUGAGGAGCAUCUCUGCCUGCACUAUCUGGGAAGUGAGGAGCGCCUCUGCCCAGCCGCCCCACCGUCUGGGAAGUGAGGAGCGCCUCUGCCCGGCCGCCCCACCGUCUGGGAAGUGAGGAGCGCCUCUGCCCGGCCGCCCCACCAUCUGGGAAGUGAGGAGCGCCUCUGCCAGGCCGCCCCACCGUCUGGGAAGUGAGGAGCGCCUCUGCCUGGCCCCCGCCCUGUCUAGGAAGUGACGAGCGCCUCUGCCCGGCCGCCUCACAGUCUGGGAAGUGAGGAGCACCUCUGCCCGGGCCCUGCCCCGUCUGGGCAGUGAGGAGUGCCUCUGCCACGCCGCCGCCCUGUCUGGGAACUGAGGAGCGCCUCUGCCCGGCUGGCCACUGGGAAUUGAGGAGGAGCACCGCCUCUGCGCGGCCUCCACCCCAUCUGGGAAGUGACGAGCACCUCUGCCCGGCCGCCUCACGGUCUGGGAAGUGACCAGCACCUCUGCCCAGCCGCCUCCGGGUCUGGGAAGUGAGGAGCGCCUCUGCCCAGUCGCUGCCCUGUCUGGGAAGUAAGGAGCGCCUCUGCCUGGCCACCGUCCCAUCUGGGAAGUGAGGAACGCUUCUGCCCAGCCGCCGCCCUGUCUGGAAAGUGAGGAGCACCUCUGCCCGGCCCCCUCACCAUUUGUAAGGGAGGAGCGCCUCUGCCCAGCCCCUGCACCGUCUGAGAAGUGAGGAGCGCCUCUGCCCGGCCCCCUCACCAUCUGGGAAGUGAGGAGCGUCUCUGUCCCGCUGCUGUGCAACCUACCAAGUGUGAAGUGACAGCCUUGUGUGUGAUCUUUCUGCCCUCCCCAAGUUUGCAUUUUCGACAUUAAAGUUUACUUUUUAAUUAAAAAAAAGGAGAUCGAGAUCAUUCUGGCCAACAUGGUGAAACUCCGUCUCUACUGAAAAUACAAAAAUUAGGCGGCAUGGUGGCUCGUGCCUGUAGUCCCAGCUACUCGGGAGGCUGAGGCAGGAGAAUGGUUUGAACCCAGGAGGUGGAGGUUGCAGUGAGCCGAGAUCGCACCACUGCACUCCAGCCUGGUGACAGGGCAAGACUCCAUCUCAAAAAAAAAGCCUACUAACCAACACACUGACUAUGUAUCAAUGAUGACGUGAUAUUGUCCGAGAAAGUACAUUCCAAGGUCACCACACAGCAAUUGUUCAAAAAGGCCUCCGAUAUGGGAUGCUCCUAUUAUCUCAGAAGUAUUCUUCUUCGCCGGUUUUUUCUGGGCAUUCUAUCACUCCAGUUUAGCACCAACCCCAGAAUUAGGAGGACAUUGACCCCCAACAGGCCAGGCAUGGUGGCUCAUCCCUGUAAUCCCAGCACUUUGGGAGGCCAAGGUGGGCAGAUCACCUGAGGUCGGGAGUUCGAGACCAGCCUGACCAACAUGGAGAAACCCUGUCUCUACUAAAAAUACAAAAUUUGUUGGGCGUGGUGGCACAUGCCUAUAAUCCCAGCUACUUGGGAAGGCUGAGGCAGGAGAAUCGCUUGAACCUGGGAGGCGGAGGCUGCGGUGAGGCGAGAUUGCGCCAUUGCACUCCAGCCUGGGCAACAAGAGCGAAACUCUGUCUCAAAAAAAAAAAAAAAAUUCAUUUUACAUCCAACCACCAUUUUGGCUUUGAAGACGCCACCUGAUAUUGACACUUUGUAGAUGUCGUAUGACCAUUCCCAUGUGUCUCUAUCUACUGGUGAGGGUCCUAC
Molecule: RNA transcript, 3126 nt
Organism: Pongo pygmaeus (Bornean orangutan)
Lineage: Eukaryota; Metazoa; Chordata; Mammalia; Primates; Hominidae
Gene name: putative UPF0607 protein ENSP00000381514
Exons: 3
Source: RefSeq, a predicted model, not a curated record